This 6007-nucleotide long non-coding RNA is filed under the name Sus scrofa (pig). Its description in RNAcentral is "lncRNA (ENSSSCG00015076979.1)". The record is from RNAcentral. Lineage: Eukaryota; Metazoa; Chordata; Mammalia; Artiodactyla; Suidae.
GGGAGGGUAAAGCUGCCUGGUCCUGGAGAGGGGGGCUGUGUGUGUGAUGCUGGGGCUCCCUCCUCUAUAUGCAGCCACACCAGCAGUGCCCGUGGAAAGGGUGGCUGUGCCUGGAGUCUGGCAGAAAGGCUGGGGCCCAAGAGGAGUCCUUGCAGGAGAAAUCUCUCCUUCUGCCCUAGAUUGGAGGCUGCAGAAAGUCAUUUGGACCAAGUGGGGGCAGGAUGCCGAGGGCAGAGGAGCUGGCUCCCGUUGGUCCCCUUUCUUUCCUCAUCUCCCUUCCCUCUGAACCCCAGUCCAGGGCCCAGGAGGGCUUGGCAGCCUGUUCCUGGCCUCCCCAGCAGAGGGCUCCAGAGCAGAGCUCAGGAUGGCCAUGGGGAGGGAGCAGCAGAAAGCAUGGACAGUCCGCCCUGCUCACAGGUGUCCAGGUCACAGGUGCUCUUUACUGGUGCACAGGUGUGUCUGUCUAUGUGUGCACCCAUGUGGGUGUGUGCAAGUGUGUACAGUAGACGUAUGUUGUUGUGUGGGCAUGUGCAUGUCGGCACGCGGGCACGACUGCCUGCUUGUGUGUUGGGUGGUAUCUAUUCACAUGUGUUUGCUCAUUUUCUCUUUGCACACGCCAGCACUACUGUGGUCCUUGUGCAUAGUUGUGUGCAUGCGGGUGUCUGUAUGCUUUGUGCAUGGAUGUCUCUGGUUGGCCUUGUGCGGAGAAAGCUGAAAAAUUACUGACAAGGUGUGCUGUGGAAUCUCAUCAUUCUCGAGGACAAGGAUGAGGGACCCCCUGCUCCCUCUGUGCCAUCUGACAUUCACACCCUGACCCAGCCGCCUGACUCCUGCCCUCAAUCAGCACAGCCCCUGAAUUUGUUUGUUAAAACCUCAUUUACAGCAGGUGUAGUUGACAUCCAGUUCCCAGGAAGCAAGUACUUCCAGAGCUGUGUGUGUGUAUGUUCUGGUUCCCUCAUUUGCAGCUCGAAAAUGUUUCUUUUCCAGCAUUUCCAUUGUGGCUCAGAGAGUUAAGAACCCAACUAGUAUCCAUGAAGAUGUGAGUUCGAUCCCUGCCCUUGCUCAUUGGGUUAAGGAUCCGGUGUUGCUACAAGCUGCAGCAUAGAUCACAGAGGAAGCUCGGAUCUGGCUUUGCUGUGACCGUGCUAUAGGCCAGCAGCUGCAGCUUCCAUUCAGCCCCUAGCCUGGGAACCUCCAUAUGGUGCAGGGCAGCCCCUGGGGCAUAUGGACGUGCCCAGGUUACUGGUUGAAUCAGAGCUAUAGCUGCUGGCCUACACCAUAACCAUAGCAACGUGGGAUCCGAGCUGCCUCUGUGGCAUACACCGCAGCUUGUGGCCACGCAGGAUCCUUAACCUGCUGAGCAAGGCGCAGGGAUGGAACCUGUGUCCUCAUGGAUACUAUUUGGGCUUUUAACCCUCUGUGCCACAACGGGAACUCCCCCUUUGGAUAUUCUUGAUCCUCCUGCGGUUUCACUGAGGCACCAGUGGGACCCUCACUCCUGCCGAGUAGCCAGGUCCUGACGUCUCGUCUGGCGGAUUGAGCCCCAGGAACCAGGGUGCGCUGGCUGCCUAAAGGGCCUUUCCUUUCUGCCUGCCUUCCCGGCAGCCCCUGGCCAGGCACCAGCUAUGACCUCAGCCCACACUGACCCUUCGGUUCCCCCCUCACCCCCUCCCAGCCUGCUCCAGAUCCAGCCUCCGGCCCUGUCCAUGCUCCCAGAACACCCCGCGUGACUCGGUUCCUGUUCUGUCACGGCCCCUACUCCCUGCCCCAGAGGCACCCUGGGCUCCAGGCUGCCCACCCGCCACCCAGCCCUCUCCACACGUGUGAAAACCACACGCAUGGGCGCUCUGCAGCUCCCCGCAGGAAAGCCCAGCCGCAAGACCCAGAGCAGAGGAGAGGGGACACACACAAGCGUGCAGGCCAGUGCCAGGGUUUGGGGAUGGGGGGCGGGGAUCCAAUGGAACGACGGGCCUCCCGGAUGCUGUAUCAAGCCAAACUCCCCAGCAGAGUCAGCACCACAUCUGGAAUUAAGCUGGAAAUUCCAAUUGCUCUCUGCUGCUAAAAAAAAAAUGUGUCAAAUCUUCCCAGAGAUUUUGUGGAAGUGGGAAGCGCUGCGGGGCGGUGGAGGGGAGGGGGGAGCGCUCCCUCCACAGGACCCGUGAGCUUUGGGGAAAUCCAGAUGUCACAAUGUGUCCACAGCCCUCUGGCUGAUGGCUCCCCCAGCCUCCCUCAUCUGUGCUCCCUGCCCCGUGAAAAUUAAAGACGCCUGGAGCAGGGGAGGGGCUGUUUCGCUUCUCCCAAGGACCCACACGUCCGUUCAUGUAAGUGCAUGUGAGACUGUGACUUUUUUUGAUAGGGAUUGAGUUAUUUUUUCCUGGAGAGGAAAACGUUGACAUGCCUUUGGUGGAUCGUCCGCCCAGAAAUUUCCAAUGCAUGAAGAAGCUGUGCUCUUCCCUUUGCUCUAACACACACACACACACACACACACACACACACACACACACACACGCACACACCUUCCAAAGGCCCAGAACUCACUGUGUGGUCUGAGCCCCUUCAGGGCCUCGCUGCACUGCUAGCCCAGCCCCAACCAGUGCAGGAUGGGGAUUCCAUAGAGCUGGGUCUGCAGGGCCAGGGAAGCUUGGACCACUUGCUUGUUCUCAAUCUCUAGGCAAGUGGAUGAAUUUCCUGUUACUGCUGUAACAAAUCACCACAAGCUGAGUGACUUCAACAACACAAAUAUAUUCUCUUACAAUUCUGGAAGUCGGAAGUCCAAAAUCAGCCUCGCUGGGCUAACGUCAAAGCAUCUCCAGGGGAAAAUCCAUUUCCUUGUCUUUUUUCACAUCUAGAGGCUACCUCUAUUCCUUGGCUUAUGGCCCCUCCCUUCUAUAGCAAGCAUCCUUCUCGGGUCCUUAGCCAGAACAUCAGAGGGUCUCUCUCCCCAAGCCUCUUCCCGUUCUGAUACUAACAUCCUAGGUCUCUGGGACCUUGGGGGAAAUGGGCCCGGCCCCUCCCCUCUCUCCUCUUUGCUGAGUCUCUGGGGCUCGUAUUGUCUCUUUUUGUCCUCUUCCUCCAGCCCAGGAGUCUGACAUCCCAGGCUGGGGCUUUUGCCCCUCAGUUUCAUUCUCAACAAGUGAAGAAUUCAUCCCAGCCCCAACUUAGUUUAGGAUCUGAAUUAUACUUUUCUCCAAGGCAGGGCUCUCGACUGCCCAGCUGUCAUGCGGGGGCCAAGGAUCCUGAUCCCGAUUCAAGGAUGUUGGGUGGGUAUCCAAGACGUCCAAAUGGAGGGGCAGGGAUGCGGGUACCCUUCCUGGCAGUGGUCCUUACCAGCCUGACCUCCCAGAGCUCAGGCCACCCGGUCACAGCGUGACAUUGAAAGUCCCUCGCCAGGGAGAGAGGGAUGAGGCUGACCCAGCCUGGGUAGUCCCAUGGGACCCAAUAGUACAGACUGGUGUCCUUGGUGGCCUCCCGAGUAAAGAGCCUCUUUGAGCCAGACCUUCCUUCUUCCUUUUCUUUCUUCCUUUCCCUCCCUUCCUUUUUGUCUGACCCAGUGCCUGGUCCUUUGUCAGGCACAGGAUAAGAGCUGGAAGGGCUCGGUCCCCCAGCCUGUGAGAAGCACUGCCCAUAGCCCCUCCCAAGCAGUGAGAGUUCCCAAGUGUGGAAGCCAAAUGGGGCUGCCCGAGGUGCCAGGAGGGCUUCCUGGGGCUGGUGGUGCUGCAUUUUCCACCCUCAAACACACUAAAACACUGAGCCACCCGCACACGCCAUGUGAGGGGAGGCAGCCACGCUUCGGCUCGUGCUCUUCCCACUGCUCGACAUCUUUCCACUUGCCUCUCCUGGAUAGCUCUGGCUCAGGUGCCACCUCUUCCAGGAAGCCUUCCCUGAAGUCUGGGGAGGUUGAAUCUCCUCCUUGAUUCUCCUAGCGCCCCACAGAGAGGCUCCUCGUGUCCAAGCCAGAAACUGAUUUUAUGCUGCAGUCAAGAGAAAGCCUCGGCCUUGGAGGGGCCUAGAGUGGGAGGGGGACAGUGUCUGGUGAAAUGGCACUGGGCUCUGCUGAGCCUGCUUUUUUUUGAGCCGAUGGGCCCUUACAGAUCCCCCAGUCCAUCGUCCUUUCCGGAUAGUGGUGCUGGGACCAGAAAACCCUUCUCCUGGUUUUAGCCCUCUGUCCUUCCCAUGACCCAUCCCAUCUUGAUGGGGGCUGUGUCCUGACCACCUCAGUGUCCGUGAGUGCUUGGUGAACCAACAUGCGGGGGUGCUCAUGGGGGAACUGAACCCGCCAGAGACAAGUGUUUCGGAGGCACAUGGCAUUGAUGUCACCAUUUGGUCACAUGCUGUCCUAACUCUCAAAGUGGAGCCUAGGUUUCACAUUAUCCCUUUAUGGCAGAGAUGCUAAGAGAAAGAUGGGUCUGAAUCCAGCUUGGCCUCUUCUGAGCUAUGUGACCUCUUUGAGCUCCCACAUCCUCAUCAGCAAAACGGGGACCCGCGCUGGACAGACCUUUGUUUUGAUGAUUAAAUAAGAUGACAUAUGCCAAGUUCCCAUUGUGGCACAGCGGAAAUGAAGCUGACUAGUGACCAUGGGGUUGCAGGUUUGAUCCCUGGCCUUGCUCAGUGGGUUGAGGAUCUGGCGUUGCCGUGAGCUUUGAUGUAGGUUGCAGACGCGGCUAGGAGCCAGUGUGGCUGUGGCUAUGGUGUAGGCCUGCAGCUGUAGCUCUGAUUCGACUCCUAGCCUUGGAACUUCAUGUGCCAAGGGUAUGGCUGGCCCUAAAAAGCAGUAAAUAAAUAAAUAAGAUAACGUAUGAGAAGUCAGCAAUUCUCUGGCACAUAGAUAUGCAUCCGAAUAGUGGCUAAAUAUUCUCCUUCUUCACAAUUUCAUUCUAGGGGCUCAACCUUCUGGAAUCAGGAAAAUUGUCUGAUUAAGUGGAUUCAUGCUGAUUCCAGCCUCAGCUCUAUGCAAAGGGAUUCUGAUUCCCUAAGUCUGGGAAGAGUUCCCAAACUCAUUAUUUUAUUUGUCUUUAUUUUUAAAUAAACAUCCUGGGUGAUCCUGAUGCUUAGCCAGGUUUGGAAGCCACUGGAAUAAGUGAUGAUGGGGUUUUAUGUUCAUAAAGACCAACUUGUGUCCUCAAAAGUAGGGUUUUAGCUUAGAGGUACCUUCCCACGGCCCCUGGAACCACAGCAGGUGGGACCCUCUCUCUCCCCAUGGGGGGAGGGGGUGGCAUCCCUCCAGAGCAGCCCCGCAGGAAGGGAUGGGGGCCGCACCAGCUGUGUCCCCUCCUGCAGCUGUUUCAGUGCCAUAGCCCCGUGGAAACCACUGUGAAAUUCAUUCUCCACAUCUCCCGAAGUUGGGCCAGGUGGCUACUGGCUGGGGCGGCUGAUCCCACCCGACAAGAGGCCUGCGAGCCAGGGAAAUACAGCCACCCUCCUCCACUCAGCACAGGGCCCCCCGUUCCACCCUCCCGGGCCAGUAAGUGCUUUUUGUCCCAGAUCAACUCAAAUCCUCCCCCGGGAAAACUUUUCUUUCCUCAGGAAGCACCCAGCUCUUGCCUUGCUGCAGGUUCUCUCAGGGCUGUCUGGCUCUGGAACCUGGUCAGGACUGGAUCCCGCCUCCCAGGGACCCCUGAGGCCUGGGGCUGAGCUGGCUGCUCUGGGAAAAUGCAAGUGGAGGAGGCGGGAAGCUGCAGAUUCCACUCAUCCGCCCGAGAAUGGCAGCGGGCCGGAGCUCUCCCUGCAGCAGGGAGCUGAGCUUUUUAUGAGCUGCACGGAGCUACAGAAGCAGGGAUUUGGCUGAGGAAGAAGGGAAAGGCCCAGAAUGAGAGCACUGUCCUCCGUCAAGGACACAGGACUGUUGACGUGGGAGAGAUGGGCGCAGCCUCUGGAUCAAGUCCACGGGGAGGAGGAAAUGGUUUUCACUGAAAAACAAAGUUGAAAAACAGUUUACUGAAGGGACAAGAAGGAGGAAAGGGGGUGGGGAACCACCUCAAACUGUCUGAUCAUCAAAAUCACCUAGUCA